RNAcentral lists this long non-coding RNA (804 nucleotides) under Panax ginseng (ginseng). RNAcentral's name for it is "long non-coding RNA (PGIN_LNC002688)". Lineage: Eukaryota; Viridiplantae; Streptophyta; Magnoliopsida; Apiales; Araliaceae. The record is from RNAcentral.
UUAUUUCCUAUUAUGAUAAAUUGUUUCCAUCAACUUAUAUAGCAAUAUGCUUUAAUAUAUUUAACAUAUUACUUACUCACACACAUUUCCUCGUACAAAGCUUCCAAAUAAUGAAAAGGGGAGUGGGCAUAAUGAUGUGAAUCAACUACCAUCCAACAACUCCUUGUCAAAUGAAUUCUUCUUCCUUCCACUAGUUUAACCUCGGAUUAGGUCUGCCACGAUACUUCUAUCGUCAAACUAUUUAUAUUUUUCAUUCAUAACUUAAUGAAUAAAAGUUUACUUAUUACAAUUUAGAAUAUAAAUUCUCUCCAUUUCCAAGAUCUGUAUAAUGACCCCAAACUUUUAUAAGUUUCACACCUUGGUCAUUUACUAUUCCUGUGUUACAUUACAUUUGAUAUUAUAAAAACGCGGAAUAAUUUAAACUUUUUCAAUCUCCUUUGAAAAUAAAUCUUCUAUUAAUUUCUUAACUUAAAUCGAUUACAUAUCCUUGAAUCAAAUUAUGUUAUGAUUCAUUCUAUUCGAAUUACUGUAUAAGAUUUUACAUCUUGAUUCGAUAUCCUCUAUGUAUUAACUAAUACAUCCUUACAAUACAACAAGUAUUAAACAUCGUAAGUAUAUAUCAAGUACACUCCUAGAACCUAAACAUGGUUCAAGAAAUAAUCUAAAUAGUAUCCUUCAUUGCGAAACUAUCUACUUUGUCAACCAAGAAACACGAAAUCUUUACCGUGAGUCCUUAACCUGCAAAAGUGGUUAUUUGCAAGGGUGAGCUCGACAGCCCAGCAAUUCUAACAGUUUUCAUGCAGC